This 303-nucleotide ribosomal RNA is filed under the name uncultured bacterium. RNAcentral describes it as "partial 16S ribosomal RNA". It matches the Rfam family "Bacterial small subunit ribosomal RNA", at positions 507 to 808 of the family's 1533-position model. The record is from RNAcentral.
AGCAGUAGCCGCGGUAAUACGUAGGUGCAAGCGUUGUCCGGAAUUAUUGGGCGUAAAGGGCUCGCAGGCGGUUUCUUAAGUCUGAUGUGAAGGCCCCCGGCUCAACCGGGGAGGGUCAUUGGAAACUGGGAAACUUGAGUGCAGAAGAGGAGAGUGGAAUUCCACGUGUAGCGGUGAAAUGCGUAGAGAUGUGGAGGAACACCAGUGGCGAAGGCGACUCUCUGGUCUGUAACUGACGCUGAGGAGCGAAAGCGUGGGGAGCGAACAGGAUUAGAUACCCGAGUAGUCCCUGUCUCUUAUACA